AGCAGUAUGGUGUAUUGUGCCCGCGGAGUUCUCAUGUUGGAUUGGAGAAUGAAUUCACCCCGAGGUCCUCGUUCGAAUCGAGGUCCUGCUU
Molecule: non-coding RNA, 91 nt
Organism: Mycena vulgaris
Lineage: Eukaryota; Fungi; Basidiomycota; Agaricomycetes; Agaricales; Mycenaceae
Source: the annotation of a GenBank genome assembly